GACGAACCGUGCGAACGUUGUUCGGAAUCACUGGGCUUAAAGGGCGCGUAGGCGGGCUGACAAGUCUGGGGUGAAAUGCCGCGGCUCAACCGUGGAACUGCCUUAGAUACUGUCGGCCUCGAGGAAGGUAGGGGCAUGCGGAACUGUAGGUGGAGCGGUGAAAUGCGUUGAUAUCUACAGGAACUCCGGUGGCGAAAGCGGCGUGCUGGACCUUUUCUGACGCUGAGGCGCGAAAGCUAGGGGAGCGAACAGG
Molecule: ribosomal RNA, 253 nt
Filed under: uncultured bacterium
Lineage: Bacteria
Description: partial 16S ribosomal RNA
Rfam family: Bacterial small subunit ribosomal RNA
Source: RNAcentral